Molecule: long non-coding RNA, 1690 nt
Organism: Pyrus x bretschneideri (Chinese white pear)
Lineage: Eukaryota; Viridiplantae; Streptophyta; Magnoliopsida; Rosales; Rosaceae
Exons: 2
Source: RefSeq, a predicted model, not a curated record
UGGAAGCUGUAAUAAGUAGCCUAGUGUAUAUAAAAGAAUUUUUAGAACAAUGCUAUUAAUUGAUUUAGGUUAUUGAAAAAGAUAUUGCAAACAAAUAAAAACAAAAGUCAAUCCUAAAAAUUAUGAGUAGUAGAAGUACUAAUAGUAGUUGCAAUCAAUUAUCCACUAAUGACAAAAGAAUAUAAAUAGUAUUCGGGUGUACUUUUACUGCUUAGACUUAAGCCCCUUGAUAAUAAAAGAGAAAGGAAAAAGAGGACAAAAGCUUUUUCAAAAAAAAAGAAAAAGAAAAAAAAGUAAUAAACUACACAAACCCCAAAAUCAGAUCUAUCUAUCUCCACCUCUCUCUCUUCGCCCAUCCAGGUUGAACCCUUGCCUUCUCCCUUCUCCCUUCUCCUUGGCCGCCGCAGCCCCUCCUCCCCUUAAUUCCAUCAUCAGUUCUGAGGAAUGAUUUUUUGUUGUUCUGGAUACCUCUUAUUAAUCGGAGGAGGAAGCAAGCCACAGGGAGGAAUGAUUUUUUGUUGUUCUGGAUACCUCUUAUUAAUCGAAGGAAGAAGCAAGCCGCAUGGAGGAAUGAUUUUUUUGUUGUUCUGGAUACCUCUUAUUCAUGCUAAUCGGAGGAAGAAGCAAGCCACAGGGAGAGAUGAUGUACGACGGCUUGGAUCCGUAAGAUCCCCAAAUCCAACGAGGAUCUGUAAGAUCCCAAUCCAACGAAGGCAGGCAGGCACACCAACCUUAGAUCAGAGAAACAGAGAAACAUAGAAGCAACAGAGGUAAAUUUGACACAAACUACUUUGUUAGCUAUACCAUCUGUUACAAGUCAAAUUAUGCAGUCAUAGAAAACUACACAAAAAAACCUAAUCCCAUAUGCAUCACUCUCCUGUCUCUCUCUCGCCCUCCUUCCAGCUCUCCUCUAUCAGUCGUUCGUGCUCCGAUCUCUUCACAAGUUUUCCACUCCACUUUGAUCCCCAUGGUAGUCUCCUCAUAGCCGCAAACUCCCAAGUCCUGUUUUUCCAAUCAAAUUUACAGCACCAGUUAGUGGGAUUCACAAAAAUACAUUAUAUGAAAAUAAUUUAGUUCAUGUGGGAGAUUUUUCUACUUACUCUCUCGGAAGCAGAACCCAUGCCCCGAAACUCUCGAUCCCUAGCACGUCUUUCCCCUUCUCGACGAGGAUAUUGCCAUCCUCCCUGCCCUCUCUGCCGUAUGAAUCCCGUAGCAUCCAGAAUCGUUGACCUUCAUCGGUCACUCCGUGACCAAUGAGAACUAAGGCAUGGAGGCCACCUCCAACACCGCAAUAACUGCAAUGCACUCUAACAACGUGUCUAAAAUGGGGACACUCGGAGCUGGUGCAUAUCUGCUCGGGGACCUCCUGCGGUCCUACGAUCAUCCCCUACAAUGCAUAAAAGAUGUUUUGAUUAGAAUUUUUAUUUCUCGAAACCUUUAAAAAAGAGAGGUUUGCCCAACUCACUCUUGUGUCAGAGAAUACAGGGUGGGAUGCUAUAGCGACAGCAAUCGGAUACUUGUCUAGCAUCCUCUCCAUCUCGCUCUCCCCCUGGAUAUGGUGCCAUAAUCCGAAGUAUAUCCACUGGCUGAUAUGCUAGAAAUGAGAAAAUAGUUACAAAGUGAGUAUUUUUGUGUUUAAACUAUAGAAAACACGAUUCUAGUCCUUAAAAAUAAUUUUCUUUUUGAUCAA